GACGAACGCUGGCGGCGUGCUUAACACAUGCAAGUCGAACGGUGAAGGGGUCUGCUUUUGUGGGCCCUGGAUGAGUGGCGCACGGGUGAGUAACACGUGAGUAACCUGCCCCCUUCUUCUGGAUAACCGCAUGAAAGUGUGUCUAAUACGGGAUAUUCUGGGUCUGUCGCAUGAUGGGUCUGGGAAAGAUUGCGCCUUUGGGUGUUUUUGGUGGGGGAUGGGCUCGCGGCCUAUCAGCUUGUUGGUGGGGUGAUGGCCUACCAAGGCGGUGACGGGUAGCCGGCCUGAGGGGGUGGACGGUCACACUGGGACAGAGACACGGCCCAGACGCCUACGGGAGGGAGCAGUGGGGAAGAUUGCGCAAUGGGGGCAAGCCUGAUGCAGCGACGCCGCGUGAGGGAGGGAGGCAUUCGGGUUGUAAACCUCUUUCGCCAGUGAAGCAGGCCUGCUCCUUGUGGGUGGGUUGACGGUAGCUGGAGAAGAAGCGCCGGCUAACUACGUG
Molecule: ribosomal RNA, 502 nt
Filed under: uncultured bacterium
Lineage: Bacteria
Description: partial 16S ribosomal RNA
Rfam family: Bacterial small subunit ribosomal RNA
Source: RNAcentral